CCUACGGGAGGCAGCAGUGAGGAAUCUUGGUCAAUGGACGAGAGUCUGAACCAGCCAAGUAGCGUGAAGGAUGACUGCCCUAUGGGCUGUAAACUUCUUUUAUAUGGGAAUAAAAUGUCUCACGUGUGGGAUUUUGUAUGUACCAUAUGAAUAAGGAUCGUCUAACUCCGUGCCAGCAGCCGCGGUAAUACGGAGGAUCCGAGCGUGAUCCGGAUUUAUUGGGUUUAAAGGGAGCGUAGGUGGAGUAUUAAGUAAGUUGUGAAGGUUUGCGGCUCAACCGUAAAAUUGCAGUUGAAACUGGCAGUCUUGAGUACAGAAGAGGAGAGCGGAAUUCGUGGUGUAGCGGUGAAAUGCUUAGAUAUCACGAAGAACUCCGAUUGCGAAGGCAGUUCACUGGACUGCAACUGACGCUGAGGCUCGAAAGUGUGGGUAUCAAACAGGAUUAGAUACCCCAGUAGUC
This 460-nucleotide ribosomal RNA is filed under the name uncultured bacterium. Its description in RNAcentral is "partial 16S ribosomal RNA". It matches the Rfam family "Bacterial small subunit ribosomal RNA", at positions 338 to 795 of the family's 1533-position model. The record is from RNAcentral.